UACGUAGGGUGCGAGCGUUGUCCGGAAUUAUUGGGCGUAAAGGGCUCGUAGGCGGUUUGUCGCGUCGGGAGUGAAAUCCACUGGCUUAACUGGUGGCUUGCUUUCGAUACGGGCAGACUGGAGGUAUGCAGGGGAGAACGGAAUUCCUGGUGUAAGCGGUGAAAUGCGCAGGAAUAUCAGGAGGAACACCGGUGGCGAAGGCGGUCUCUGGG
Molecule: ribosomal RNA, 212 nt
Filed under: uncultured bacterium
Lineage: Bacteria
Description: partial 16S ribosomal RNA
Rfam family: Bacterial small subunit ribosomal RNA
Source: RNAcentral